AUGUCGCUGAGGAGACGUGAUCUCCGAGCAGCCCUUCUCAUAGCUCGCAGUCCAGGUCGAUGCCAAAUUCAACUUCCAGGAGGCUUUUUGUGCUGUGGCUGCAACGUUAAGCAUUUGAAUGGAGCACAUAUAGGCAUGCCCCGGUUCAUUUUAGAGUCACUUGGUUGUUUGAUGCGUUCGUGCUCGUCGGCGGGACGGUGCAAGGCGCAACUCCGACGCGGUUCCUCGCCGGUUGGAUGGCAUUCAGGCGCAACCCCGGCGCGCACUGAGUACUGCCUUGGCUAUAACCUCCCUCGAAAUUCAGUUCAUAUGAAAGAAAAGAAAGGCAUGCAGUACCUGGCAUUGACAUUGGGAGCAUGGGCUACUGCUCGCACCUCUACCUACAGCUUACAGGUUCCUUCCUUUCUCUAUAUGGUGGCCUGGGAAGGAAGAUUUUUGUUUACUCAUUCAGGUGUUGUCAAAUGCUCCAGAAUUUUAUUAACUCAUAUGAGUGUUUUCAAAUGCUCUAGAUAUUAUAUAGUCCGUUCUACAGGGUGUUGUUUGGGUGAUUUAGUUGGAGAAAAUAAUCUCUACCUACAGCUACAUUAA
RNAcentral lists this ribosomal RNA (588 nucleotides) under Triticum aestivum (bread wheat). Its description in RNAcentral is "partial small subunit ribosomal RNA". The record is from RNAcentral. Lineage: Eukaryota; Viridiplantae; Streptophyta; Magnoliopsida; Poales; Poaceae.